This 530-nucleotide ribosomal RNA is filed under the name Myriophora sp. H64. Its description in RNAcentral is "partial 16S ribosomal RNA". The stretch from base 388 to 530 matches the Rfam family "Bacterial large subunit ribosomal RNA", at positions 2473 to 2615 of the family's 2925-position model. Lineage: Eukaryota; Metazoa; Arthropoda; Insecta; Diptera; Phoridae. The record is from RNAcentral.
GUCUUUUAGAAAUUAAUUUAAAGUCUAACCUGCCCACUGAAUUUUUUUAAAUGGCCGCAGUAUCCUAACUGUGCAAAGGUAGCAUAAUCAUUAGUCUUUUAAUUGAAGGCUGGAAUGAAUGGUUGGAUGAAAUAUUAACUGUUUCAUAAAAAUUUAUAAUAGAAUUUUAUUUUUUAGUCAAAAAGCUAAAAUUUAAUUAAAAGACGAGAAGACCCUAUAAAUCUUUAUACUUAUAAAAUUACAAUUAUAUAGAUAAUUUAAAUUUUAAUUUUUUAUAGUAUUUUAUUGGGGUGAUAUUAAAAUUUAAUAAACUUUUAAUUUAUAAUUUACAUAAAUUAAUGAAUUUUUGAUCCAUUUAUUAUGAUUAAAAAAUUAAGUUACUUUAGGGAUAACAGCGUAAUUUUUUUAGAGAGUUCAUAUUGAUAAAAAAGAUUGCGACCUCGAUGUUGGAUUAAGAUACAGUUUUAGGUGCAGCAGCUUAAACUUAAAGUCUGUUCGACUUUUAAAUUCUUACAUGAUCUGAGUUCAAA